Molecule: long non-coding RNA, 2317 nt
Organism: Symphalangus syndactylus (siamang)
Lineage: Eukaryota; Metazoa; Chordata; Mammalia; Primates; Hylobatidae
Source: RefSeq, a predicted model, not a curated record
AGUCAGCAGGGGGCGCCUGGGGCGGCCUGGCCUUGUGGCUCCCGCUGAAAUCAGCCCAGCAGGAGGGAGGGUGCCAGUGCCCUCCUAUGCAGGUCAAACUCCUAACAAAUGAUGUGGCUGGAGAAUACUUGACAGCACGAUGACGAAACAUGUCAGUAUACAAUGAGAUCAUGAAACACGCUGUGCCCAGCUCUGCGGUUAGUUCACAGUAUUUUACAGAGCGUCGUUUCCAAACGCUCAGGAAACACCAGCUACCUAUAAUACCGUGUGACAUGCACCUUCUUCAACACUCAGCACAGCUCUGCAGUAACGGCCCAGCCUGAUCUUCACGUUGGAGCACUGUAUCCCGUGUCUUUGACAUCCCUACGGCAGCUGGAUGAGAUGUGUCAUCAGUCACAGGUGCACUGGGGAUGAUGCUGACUUGCCAGCUAGAGGGUCGUCCGAGGUGGAUUCUGGGUCAACACCCUUUUCAGGUAGAAGGAAUUGUUCUUCACUUUUCAAGUCUUAUUCAGGGCCACACCUUGCUGCUUUGGAGAGGACUCCGUGUGAGCCAAUGGUCCUGAGCUUUGAGCAGGAUGGAAUUACUAGAGAAUCCUUUGCGUGGCCACCUUGGAGACAGAAAGCGACAUCUGCGUCCCAGCCGAGAUUGUGCACUGUUCCUCAGCAGAGGGCCCCUGGCUGAAAGAUUCCUUGAUAAGCAUGUGCAGAAAACUGUAUCUGCUGGAGCUUUAUAGAGAAUAGGUCAAAUAUUUUCAUCACUUUAAUAAUCUUCAUGAAGUUAAACUAGAAGAAAGUCAACUUAUUCAUGUCUGCUGCUCCUUUAGAAGUCAGCACCAAUGCAGUGGCAGGAGGACAUGCAAGUUGGGAAUUUUAAAAGGUGAGAUUUGCUCUCCAGCACUGGUCCCUGCCAGGUGUGACCUUCACAUAUUCUUUCCACAAGGUCCAGGCCCCCAUUUGCGGAGGCCGACAGUUCCCAGAGUGGCUUUCAUCAGAAAACAGGAUCUUAGAGGAGACAGUCAGAGGAGGGGGCUUCGUCCUCCCCACCGCACAGCCCCUUGUAGGGAUUGGAAGGUGAGGGUCUCUGCCCAUGAGGUGGCAGUCACCCUAAGCUGUGGUGUGGGAGGAAGCCUAGAGAAUAUAGGUUGGUGCUGGGACAGCAUUUCUUGGUCCUGACUUGGAGAAGGUGUUAAAAUCCUGACAUUCCCGACUCCUUCUUUGUGGGAGCCCCUGCCCUGCAGAUCUCAUGGGGUUGUUGUGAGGGUCAGCUGGGGUGAUGGGUUUGGAAGUGCUUUGUGAAUGACACAGUGGGCCUUCCUAUUUCUGUCACUGGCCCUUUGACCUUGAGUACUAAUUGCCUGGGAUCUCCAGGUUUCAAGGUCUAAUCCUGGAAGGGUACGAGGUGUCCCCAGUGGAACAUUCUACAGCACUUCCUGGGAGGUCCCUUUCUUCCACCUUUACCCAACAUAACCCCUGCUCCCGUUCCUUCAGCCUGGAGAGCUUGCCAAGGGGCACAAGAUGGUACUGGACUGAAUUUCUCUUUGGAAAAGAGAAGAGAUUACUUCCUCGUUUCAGCUGUUCCUCUUCCUAACUUGCCCUGUGGAAUUCCAGGGCUCUGUGCAGCAUUUUCCAGACAUGAGAGGGAGAACUUCUAGGGCAGCGAUCUGCCCUGGGUGGGAAUGGAGGAUUAUUCUAGAGUCUGGGUGUCAGAAGUGUGAGCCCUGCCCAGGGGGGUGAUGGACUAUCCCUGGGGGCCAACAUGCUGCUGUGUGGGGAGCCAGGGAAGAUGCUGCUCUUUCCCAUCACCUUUUGGAUCUAUGGAGUUGUCCACCCCGAUCCCCGGUCUCCUCACAAGUGGCCUCUACCUUCCCCCUGACCUAUGCCACCCCUCAUGUGAGGUUUUAUCACCUGCACCAGUGCCUGCCUCUCUGCUUCCAGACCCAUGGCUCAUGACCCUCUCUCUCCUCACCCCUUCCAUGUCCAUUCCCUCUCCCCCUAGAGCCCGUUUCCAUCCAUACCCCACCGUGUCCUUCACCACGUCCUCACCUGACCCCGCACCUCCCCAGCCCACCUUUCCCUUGAAGGAGUGAAUGCCAUCCCAAAAUAUGCCAAGCUGGUAUAUUGAUAAUUUUAUGUUAAAAACAUUAGAGAAAUUGUAGUUUUAGAAAGGGUGAGCUGACCUGCCUCUUCCUGCAUGUGGCAAGCCAUAAAGACUCCUCUGGGGGCGGCACCCCCACACAAGGGCAAGAAGAGAGCCCUUAGCACCAGAGACUGGGGAUUGGGGGCAGCAAUGGACCCGAGUAAAUGUACUUCACAAAGU